UGGUCAAUGGGCGCAAGCCUGAACCAAGCCAUGCCGCGUGCAGGAUGACGGUCCCUAUGGAUUGUAAACUGCUUUUGUACGGGAAGAAACACUGAUUCGUGAAUCAGCCUGACGGUACCGUAAGAAUAAGGAUCGGCUAACUCCGUGCCAGCAGCCGCGGUAAUACGGAGGAUCCAAGCGUUAUCCGGAAUCAUUGGGUUUAAAGGGUCUGUAGGCGGUCUUGUAAGUCAGUGGUGAAAGCCCAUCGCUCAACGGUGGAACGGCCAUUGAUACUGCAGGACUUGAAUUACCGGGAAGUAACUAGAAUAUGUAGUGUAGCGGUGAAAUGCUUAGAUAUUACAUGGAAUACCAAUUGCGAAGGCAGGUUACUACCGGUGGAUUGACGCUGAUGGACGAAAGCGUGGGGAGCGAACAGGAUUAGAUACCCUGGUAGUCCACGCCGUAAACGAUGGAUACUAGCUGCUGGGGGCGACUUCAGUGGCUAAGCGAAAGUGAUAAGUAUCCCACCUGGGGAGUACGAACGCAAGUUUGAAACUCAAAGGAAUUGACGGGGGCCCGCACAAGCGGUGGAGCAUGUGGUUUAAUUCGAUGAUACGCGAGGAACCUUACCAAGGCUUAAAUGCAGACUGACCGGUUUGGAAACAGACCUUUCGCAAGACAGUCUACAAGGUGCUGCAUGGUUGUCGUCAGCUCGUGCCGUGAGGUGUCAGGUUAAGUCCUAUAACGAGCGCAACCCCUGUUGUUAGUUGCCAGCGAGUCAGGUCGGGAACUCUAACAAGACUGCCAGUGCAAACUGUGAGGAAGGUGGGGAUGACGUCAAAUCAUCACGGCCCUUACGCCUUGGGCUACACACGUGCUACAAUGGCCGGUACAGAGAGCAGCCACUGGGCGACCAGGAGCGAAUCUAUAAAGCCGGUCACAGUUAGGAUCGGUGUGUGCA
RNAcentral lists this ribosomal RNA (940 nucleotides) under Flavobacterium sp. RNAcentral describes it as "bacterial SSU rRNA". It matches the Rfam family "Bacterial small subunit ribosomal RNA", at positions 365 to 1309 of the family's 1533-position model. The record is from RNAcentral. Lineage: Bacteria; Pseudomonadati; Bacteroidota; Flavobacteriia; Flavobacteriales; Flavobacteriaceae.